RNAcentral lists this ribosomal RNA (389 nucleotides) under uncultured soil bacterium. RNAcentral's name for it is "bacterial SSU rRNA". It matches the Rfam family "Bacterial small subunit ribosomal RNA", at positions 26 to 414 of the family's 1533-position model. The record is from RNAcentral.
AGGACGAACGCUGGCGGCGUGCUUAACACAUGCAAGUCGAGCGGUAAGGCCCUUUCGGGGGUACACGAGCGGCGAACGGGUGAGUAACACGUGAGCAAUCUGCCCUUCACUUCGGGAUAAGCCUCGGAAACGGGGUCUAAUACCGGAUAUGACUGCGCCAUGCAUGUGGUGUGGUGGAAAGUUCUGGCGGUGAGGGAUGAGCUCGCGGCCUAUCAGCUUGUUGGUGGGGUAAUGGCCUACCAAGGCUUCGACGGGUAGCCGGCCUGAGAGGGUGACCGGCCACACUGGGACUGAGACACGGCCAGACUCCUACGGGAGGCAGCAGUGGGGAAUAGUUGGACAAGUGGGCGAAAGCCUAGACUCCGAGCAACGCCGCGUGAGGAUGACGG